UACGUAGGGUCCGAGCGUUGUCCGGAAUUAUUGGGCGUAAAGGGCUCGUAGGCGGUCUGUUGCGUCGGGAGUGAAAACUUACAGCUUAACUGUGAGCGUGCUUUCGAUACGGGCAGACUUGAGGCAUUCAGGGGAGAACGGAAUUCCUGGUGUAGCGGUGAAAUGCGCAGAUAUCAGGAGGAACACCGGCGGUGUAGACGGCUUGCUAGACCAUAACUGACGCUGAGGCACGAAAGCGUGGGUAGCAAACAGG
RNAcentral lists this ribosomal RNA (253 nucleotides) under uncultured bacterium. RNAcentral's name for it is "partial 16S ribosomal RNA". It matches the Rfam family "Bacterial small subunit ribosomal RNA", at positions 524 to 776 of the family's 1533-position model. The record is from RNAcentral.